CAAACUUCAUGGUAUUUUUCCAUGCAGUACAAGGUAAAAUAUUUUUCUCCAUAACAUCCAUUCAUCUUUUGAUAGAAGACUCAAAAGCUCAUUAAAGGUCAUUUGCCAUAAUUUAAGCAGAUUCUUAAUUUUCUUUCUUUUGAUUUGAGACAAUGCAAAUAUAAGUUUAAAGUCUGAGUCAGCUUUUUCCGACCAUAUCUUUAAAAUGAAUAUCUUGAAAAGAACCUCAAGGACCUAUCAAUAUGUU
Molecule: long non-coding RNA, 247 nt
Filed under: Mytilus galloprovincialis (Mediterranean mussel)
Lineage: Eukaryota; Metazoa; Mollusca; Bivalvia; Mytilida; Mytilidae
Source: RNAcentral